RNAcentral lists this long non-coding RNA (1894 nucleotides) under Equus asinus (donkey). Its description in RNAcentral is "lncRNA (ENSEASG00005024478.1)". The record is from RNAcentral. Lineage: Eukaryota; Metazoa; Chordata; Mammalia; Perissodactyla; Equidae.
GCAGUCUCUUUGCUCUCAGUCUUGGCUCCAGACAGGGCCAACUGGUGGGACCCCCUGAAACAAGGCAGAAGAAGGCACCGUUGGAUGAGGAGCGUUCCCAGGAUAGGGCCAGGCGCUUUAGGAGACCUGGAGUAAACCCACAAAGCCCCAUCUGUAGGGAAGGCAGACCUUGGGGUUACCUCACAAUGGUAACAAAGAGCCUGGGAGAGUGUGAAGAGAGAACGCCUCCUGCUGUCACUGAAAAAGCCCUGCUAUAGGAGCCCAAAGGGAAGGGCUGAGACCAGCUCUGCCACCGACCAGCAAGUCCCUUUCCAUCUGGGCUUCGGUUUCUCACCCAGGAAACGAAUGGGGGAGGAAAUUCAUCUCUCAGGUCUUCCAGCGCUGUGAGUCCUUCUCUCCGCUUCAGCUACAUUCCUCCUUCCAAGAUGACUGGGUGGGUCCUAGGCCAGCCAGCAAAUCAUUAUAUAUCACACGUUAGAGCUUCUUUGAGAUGGUCGGCUGCAACCUAUUCAUUUUACAUAUGAGAAACUGAACCUCAGAGAGACAAAGGUUUUCGUUCAAGGUCGCACUUGGUAACAAGCGUGAGAACCCCCCGGGUCUCCUGUGACCCCUUACUUGGACUCUACGGUUCUGUGAUCACAAUUUUCCAUAUGAAGCUAAGCUCCUGGAGCUCAGGGACCACACUGCCUGGAGCUGGUGGGUUCCUAGCACCCAGCAGAGCACCCAGAGCCUGGCUACUCCCUCAGUGUUUGCAGCAAGAAGGAAGAAGGGAAGAACAGACUGUUGGAGCAACUGCGAGGACUCUCUGUGUGAGUGGAGGAGAAGCCUGUUUAUCCAUCCUUCCAUGCUCUUGGCCAUCUGUCCUUCCUAAGGAGCAGAGCCUGUGUCCCUCCAGACAGGCAAAGAGAAGUGUAGAGAAGUUGUGUUAGUGGCGAAGAUAAUGCUCCUUGAAGAGAAUGCUUUGAAUCUUCAGCAUGUUCUUUAUGGGUCCAUUCAUUCAACAUGAUUGAGCACCUGGGCAUUGUGGGGCUACAGCAAUGAACAUGAGACGUCAUCACGUCCCUGCUCUGAGGCUCUCACAGCCUAGGGAGGAGGAGAUGUACACACAGAACUGAACUCCAGAGAGAAGAGCAUGAGACAAGUCAGUGUUCUACAAGCAUUCAGACAGGAAAGUGUUCUUUCCAUAUGGUGACAAUGAGGAAUCCUUGUGUUAGGGGGGCAUCUGAGCUAGUCCUUGGAGAAAUGAUGUUGCCUGUGAGGACACGCGUAAAGCAUUACCUGCCUCCACUGAAGAAGACAGAUCGAGCCUUCACCAGCAGAAUCAAAGACUCCCAGGUCUGAUAUUGACCUGGGUCAGCAGAACAUUGUGGAAACGAGCACUGGUUUUGGAGUCAGACAGAACUGAGUUCAAAUCCCAGCUCUGCCACUUCCUAGCUGUGUAACCUGGGACAAGUUACUGGACCUGCCUUAGCCUCAAUUUUCUCAUGUGUCAAAAGGGGAUUAUAAUAAUAUUUAGCUCAGAUGAUUGGUGUUAAGGAUCAAUUGAGAUAAUCCAUGCAAAGCAUUUAACACAGUGCCUGGCACAUAGUAAUUGUUCAAUAAAAGGUUAGCUAAUUCUAGCGUGGAUCAGACUAGCUGCCCAGACCGUGAGCAACCUGAGGUCCAUGACCAGGCCUCCUUUCCUCUUGAUCCUCCCAAUCCUAACACAGAGCCUGGGCACAAGAGGCUUGGUAACGGUUUGCAAAAUGAAUAAAUAAACAGAGGAGGCAUCCUCUUUAUCAAUCUCUUAAAUUGAACACGAAGGAAGAUUUUUUGAGAGCGAGUAUGGUUGAAGCUUAGAAGGGGCUUCUAUAGAAGGCUGUGUUAUUGCCAAAGGUCUUUUAAGAAGAUAAAU